AGAAGAUGAGGAAAUGCCUAUUAUAGAGAUUCAAAACUUCUUUCCAUGCCAUGAGGAUCAACCAUUCGGUCAUCAUCAACUGAAAAUAUUGCUACAAGACCAAUUUCUAUUUCUGGGUAAGGCCAAAAUCGUGAC
Amphimedon queenslandica is the source of this 135-nucleotide long non-coding RNA. RefSeq lists it as uncharacterized. The transcript is spliced from 3 exons. The record is from RefSeq and is a predicted model, not a curated record. Lineage: Eukaryota; Metazoa; Porifera; Demospongiae; Haplosclerida; Niphatidae.